This 198-nucleotide unclassified non-coding RNA is filed under the name Phlegmacium hedyaromaticum. Its description in RNAcentral is "partial internal transcribed spacer 2". The record is from RNAcentral. Lineage: Eukaryota; Fungi; Basidiomycota; Agaricomycetes; Agaricales; Cortinariaceae.
AUAUAUCAACUUCUUCAGCUUUUGCUUGUUGAGUGUUGGAUGUGGGGGCCUUUUUUGCUGGUCUUUCUAAGGUCAGCUCCCCUGAAAUGCAUUAGCGGAACAAUUUGUGGACCGUUCAUUGGUGUGAUAACUAUCUACGCUAUUGACGUGAAGCAGUUCAGCUUCUAACAGUCCAUUGACUUGGACAAAUUUUCAUUA